RNAcentral lists this ribosomal RNA (440 nucleotides) under uncultured bacterium. RNAcentral describes it as "partial 16S ribosomal RNA". It matches the Rfam family "Bacterial small subunit ribosomal RNA", at positions 338 to 795 of the family's 1533-position model. The record is from RNAcentral.
ACUACGGGUGGCAGCAGUGGGGAAUAUUGCACAAUGGGGGAAACCCUGAUGCAGCGACGCCGCGUGAGUGAGGAAGUAUUUCGGUAUGUAAAGCUCUAUCAGCAGGGAAGAAAAUGACGGUACCUGACUAAGAAGCCCCGGCUAACUACGUGCCAGCAGCCGCGGUAAUACGUAGGGGGCAAGCGUUAUCCGUAUUGACUGGGUGUAAAGGGGGCGUAGACGGUUAAUCAAGUCAGAAGUGAAAACCCAGGGCUAAACCUUGGGACUGCUUUUGAAACUGAGUAGCUAGAGUGCAGGAGAGGUAAGCGGAAUUCCUAGUGUAGCGGUGAAAUGCGUAGAUAUUAGGAGGACCACCAGUGGCGAAGGCGGCUUACUGGACUGUAACUGACGUUGAGGCUCGAAAGCGUGGGGAGCAAACAGGAUUAGAUACCCGGGUAGUC